Small nucleolar RNA from Mangifera indica (mango), 106 nucleotides. NCBI's taxonomy places the organism in Eukaryota, Viridiplantae, Streptophyta, Magnoliopsida, Sapindales, Anacardiaceae. The record is from RefSeq and is a predicted model, not a curated record.
AGAUCAUGAUAUGGGUAUUUUCUAACCAAUUCCUUAAAUCUUUCCCAUGAUUCAUAUGGUGAUCCCGUGUCCAUCUACAUUAAAUUUGUGACAUCAUUAUGAAGUU